ACCGGGAUGGACGUACCGCUGGUGCACCAGUUGUUCCGCCAGGAGCAUGGCUGGGUAGCUACGUACGGACGGGAUAAGCGCUGAAAGCAUCUAAGCGUGAAGCCCCCCUCAAGAUGAGAUUUCCCAGCAUGUAAGACCCCUUGAAGACGACGAGGUAGAUAGGUUGGAGGUGGAAGCACGGCAACGUGUGGAGCUGACCAAUACUAAUCGGUCGAGGGCUUAUCCAAAA
This 229-nucleotide ribosomal RNA is filed under the name Paenibacillus jilunlii. RNAcentral describes it as "partial 23S ribosomal RNA". It matches the Rfam family "Bacterial large subunit ribosomal RNA", at positions 2691 to 2925 of the family's 2925-position model. The record is from RNAcentral. Lineage: Bacteria; Bacillati; Bacillota; Bacilli; Caryophanales; Paenibacillaceae.